GAUGAAGAACGUAGCGAAAUGCGAUAAGUAAUGUGAAUUGCAGAAUUCAGUGAAUCAUCGAGUCUUUGAACGCACCUUGCACCCUUUGGACUGCUCCAAAGGGUAUGCUCGUUUGAGUGUCAUUGUACUCUCACACUCUCUGAUCCUUUGGAUUUGGGGAGCAGUGGACUUGGGUGCUUGCUGCUUCCUUGUGGCUCACCUGAAAUGCAUCAGUGCAUCUCUCGAUUGGACAUAGUACGGCGUGAUAAGUGUCUUCGCCGGCACCUCAUAUGAGGGUGGCCGAUCGGGAGCUCUGUGCUUUCAAACCGUCUUCGGACAACGCUGACAACUUGACCUCAAAUCGAGUAGGACUACCCGCUGAACUUAAGCAUAUCAAUAAGCGGAGGA
This 387-nucleotide unclassified non-coding RNA is filed under the name soil metagenome. Its description in RNAcentral is "partial contains 5.8S ribosomal RNA, internal transcribed spacer 2, and large subunit ribosomal RNA". The stretch from base 1 to 122 matches the Rfam family "5.8S ribosomal RNA", at positions 35 to 154 of the family's 154-position model. The record is from RNAcentral.